Molecule: ribosomal RNA, 490 nt
Filed under: uncultured bacterium
Lineage: Bacteria
Description: partial 16S ribosomal RNA
Rfam family: Bacterial small subunit ribosomal RNA
Source: RNAcentral
AUUGAACGCUGGCGGCAGGCCUAACACAUGCAAGUCGAACGGUAACAGGAAGACGCUUGCUUCUUUGCUGACGAGUGGCGGACGGGUGAGUAAUGUCUGGGAAACUGCCUGAUGGAGGGGGAUAACUACUGGAAACGGUAGCUAAUACCGCAUAACGUCGCAAGACCAAAAAGGGGGACCUUCGGGCCUCUUGCCAUCGGAUGUGCCCAGAUGGGAUUAGCUAGUAGGUGGGGUAACGGCUCACCUAGGCGACGAUCCCUAGCUGUCAUGAGAGGAUGACCAGCCACACUGGAACUGAGACACGGUCCAGACUCCUACGGGAGGCAGCAGUGGGGAAUAUUGCACAAUGGGCGCAAGCCUGAUGCAGCCAUGCCGCGUGUAUGAAGAAGGCCUUCGGGAUGUAAAGUACUUUCAGCGGGGAGGAAGGGAGUAAAGUUAAUACCUUUGCUCAUUGACGUUACCCGCAGAAGAAGCACCGGCUAACUCCGUG